This 350-nucleotide ribosomal RNA is filed under the name uncultured bacterium. RNAcentral's name for it is "bacterial SSU rRNA". It matches the Rfam family "Bacterial small subunit ribosomal RNA", at positions 355 to 722 of the family's 1533-position model. The record is from RNAcentral.
GGGGGAAUAUUGGACAAUGGGGGAAACCCUGAUCCAGCAAUGCCGCGUGAGUGAAGAAGGCCUUAGGGUUGUAAAGCUCUUUCAGCAGGGACGAUGAUGACGGUACCUGCAGAAGAAGCCCCGGCUAACUCCGUGCCAGCAGCCGCGGUAAUACGGAGGGGGCUAGCGUUGUUCGGAAUUACUGGGCGUAAAGAGCACGUAGGCGGUUGAUCUAGUUAGGCGUGAAAGCCCUGGGCUUAACCCAGGAACUGCGCUUAAUACUGGUCAACUUGAGGCCGGGAGAGGGUGGUGGAAUUCCCAGUGUAGAGGUGAAAUUCGUAGAUAUUGGGAGGAACACCAGUGGCGAAGGC